CCUACGGGUGGCAGCAGUGAGGAAUAUUGGUCAAUGGACGAGAGUCUGAACCAGCCAAGUAGCGUGAAGGAUGACUGCCCUAUGGGUUGUAAACUUCUUUUAUAUGGGAAUAAAAUGUUCCACGUGUGGGAUUUUGUAUGUACCAUAUGAAUAAGGAUCGGCUAACUCCGUGCCAGCAGCCGCGGUAAUACGGAGGAUCCGAGCGUUAUCCGGAUUUAUUGGGUUUAAAGGGAGCGUAGGUGGAUUGUUAAGUCAGUUGUGAAAGUUUGCGGCUCAACCGUAAAAUUGCAGUUGAAACUGGCAGUCUUGAGUGCAGUAGAGGUGGGCGGAAUGCGUGGUGUAGCGGUGAAAUGCUUAGAUAUCACGAAGAACUCCGAUUGCGAAGGCAGUUCACUGGACUGCAACUGACACUGAGGCUCGAAAGUGUGGGUAUCAAACAGGAUUAGAUACCCGGGUAGUC
Molecule: ribosomal RNA, 460 nt
Filed under: uncultured bacterium
Lineage: Bacteria
Description: partial 16S ribosomal RNA
Rfam family: Bacterial small subunit ribosomal RNA
Source: RNAcentral